GAUCAUGGCUNAGACGACGCUGGCGGCGCGCCUAACACAUGCAAGUCGAACGAGCGAGAGAGAGCUUGCUUUCUCAAGCGAGCGGCGGACGGGUGAGUAACGCGUGGGUAACCUGCCUCAUACAGGGGGAUAACAGUUAGAAAUGGCUGCUAAUACCGCAUAAGACCACAGCACCGCAUGGUGCAGGGGUAAAAACUCCGGUGGUAUGAGAUGGACCCGCGUCUGAUUAGCUAGUUGGUGGGGUAACGGCCUACCAAGGCGACGAUCAGUAGCCGACCUGAGAGGGUGACCGGCCACAUUGGGACUGAGACACGGCCCAAACUCCUACGGGAGGCAGCAGUGGGGAAUAUUGCACAAUGGGCGAAAGCCUGAUGCAGCGACGCCGCGUGAAGGAUGAAGUAUUUCGGUAUGUAAACUUCUAUCAGCAGGGAAGAAAAUGACGGUACCUGACUAAGAAGCCCCGGCUAACUACGUG
This 475-nucleotide ribosomal RNA is filed under the name uncultured bacterium. Its description in RNAcentral is "bacterial SSU rRNA". It matches the Rfam family "Bacterial small subunit ribosomal RNA", at positions 15 to 507 of the family's 1533-position model. The record is from RNAcentral.